RNAcentral lists this ribosomal RNA (253 nucleotides) under uncultured bacterium. RNAcentral's name for it is "partial 16S ribosomal RNA". It matches the Rfam family "Bacterial small subunit ribosomal RNA", at positions 524 to 776 of the family's 1533-position model. The record is from RNAcentral.
UACAGAGGGUUCAAGCGUUAAUCGGAAUUACUGGGCGUAAAGCGUGCGUAGACGGUUAUGUAAGUCAGGUGUGAAAGCCCCGGGCUCAACCUGGGAAUGGCAUUUGAGACUGCAUAGCUAGGGUGCGGAAGAGGGAAGCGGAAUUUCCGGUGUAGCGGUGAAAUGCGUAGAUAUCGGAAGGAACAUCAGUGGCGAAAGCGGCUUCCUGGUCCAGCACCGACGUUCAGGCACGAAAGCGUGGGGAGCAAACAGG